GACGAACGCUGGCGGCGUGCCUAAUACAUGCAAGUAGAACGCUGAAGGAGGAGCUUGCUCUUCUGGAUGAGUUGCGAACGGGUGAGUAACGCGUAGGUAACCUGCCUGGUAGCGGGGGAUAACUAUUGGAAACGAUAGCUAAUACCGCAUAACAGUAGAUGUUGCUUGACAUUUACUUAAAAGGUGCAAUUGCAUCACUACCAGAUGGACCUGCGUUGUAUUAGCUAGUUGGUGGGGUAACGGCUCACCAAGGCGACGAUACAUAGCCGACCUGAGAGGGUGAUCGGCCACACUGGGACUGAGACACGGCCCAGACUCCUACGGGAGGCAGCAGUAGGGAAUCUUCGGCAAUGGACGGAAGUCUGACCGAGCAACGCCGCGUGAGUGAAGAAGGUUUUCGGAUCGUAAAGCUCUGUUGUAAGAGAAGAACGAGUGUGAGAGUGGAAAGUUCACACUGUGACGGUAUCUUACCAGAAAGGGACGGCUAACUACGUG
This 495-nucleotide ribosomal RNA is filed under the name uncultured bacterium. Its description in RNAcentral is "partial 16S ribosomal RNA". It matches the Rfam family "Bacterial small subunit ribosomal RNA", at positions 28 to 507 of the family's 1533-position model. The record is from RNAcentral.